GAUGAACGCUGGCGGCGUGCCUAAUACAUGCAAGUCGAGCGAACAGACGAGGAGCUUGCUCCUCUGACGUUAGCGGCGGACGGGUGAGUAACACGUGGAUAACCUACCUAUAAGACUGGGAUAACUUCGGGAAACCGGAGCUAAUACCGGAUAAUAUAUUGAACCGCAUGGUUCAAUAGUGAAAGACGGUUUUGCUGUCACUUAUAGAUGGAUCCGCGCCGCAUUAGCUAGUUGGUAAGGUAACGGCUUACCAAGGCGACGAUGCGUAGCCGACCUGAGAGGACGACGAGCCACAGUGGGAGUGAGACACGGCGCAGACGACGACGGGAGGCAGCAGGGGGGAAUGUUGGACAAUGGGGGCAACACUGAUAAAGCUAUGACGCGUGAGGGAAGAAGGCCUUAGGGUUGUAAACAGCUUUUGCUCGGGAAGAAAAAAGCUGGGCUAAUAAACAGGGGGGAUGAAGGUAACGGAAGAAUAAGCAACGGAUAACUACGUG
RNAcentral lists this ribosomal RNA (497 nucleotides) under uncultured bacterium. Its description in RNAcentral is "partial 16S ribosomal RNA". It matches the Rfam family "Bacterial small subunit ribosomal RNA", at positions 28 to 507 of the family's 1533-position model. The record is from RNAcentral.